UGGGCCCAUAACCCAGAGGUCGAUGG
RNAcentral lists this non-coding RNA (26 nucleotides) under Xenopus tropicalis (tropical clawed frog). RNAcentral also lists the same sequence under 4 other names. Lineage: Eukaryota; Metazoa; Chordata; Amphibia; Anura; Pipidae. The record is from RNAcentral.